This 480-nucleotide ribosomal RNA is filed under the name uncultured bacterium. Its description in RNAcentral is "bacterial SSU rRNA". It matches the Rfam family "Bacterial small subunit ribosomal RNA", at positions 29 to 506 of the family's 1533-position model. The record is from RNAcentral.
GUUAACGCUGGCAGCGUGCAUAACACAUGCAAGUCGAGCGGACUCCGCAGCGUAUCGCGGAGUUAGCGGCAGACGAGUGAGUAACACGUGAGAAAUCUUCCCUUGAGAGGCGAAUAACCAACCGAAAGGUUGGCUAAUACGCCGUACGAUUCCGGCGCGGCAUCGCGCCGGUAUGAAAGGCCCGCAAGGGUCGCUCAUGGAGGAUCUCGCGGCCUAUCAGCUAGUUGGCGGGGUAAAAGCCCACCAAGGCUAUGACGGGUAGCCGGCCUGAAAGGGUGUACGGCCACGGGGACACUGCGACACGGGUCCCACUCCUACGGGAGGCAGCAGUGGGGAAUUUUGGACAAUGGGGGAAACCCUGAUCCAGCAACGCUGCGUGAAGGACGAAGGCCUUCGGGUCGUAAACUUCUUUUGUUUCAGAGAAAAGCCCUCGCAAGGGGGUCUGAUAGUAUGAGAUGAAUAAGCCACGGCUAACUACGU